Molecule: long non-coding RNA, 276 nt
Filed under: Mustela putorius furo (domestic ferret)
Lineage: Eukaryota; Metazoa; Chordata; Mammalia; Carnivora; Mustelidae
Description: lncRNA (ENSMPUG00000029317.1)
Source: RNAcentral
CAUCUCUGAGCAUUCUCCCGCCCCCAAGCUGGAGAGACGCCCUGCUUUGACAGGACUUGCCUGAUCUGGUCAGGCCCAUGUGGAUCAUCUCCCCAUCUUGAAGUCACCUGUGCCACCUGUGCCAUCGAUCAUGGCUAUCAUGUGACCUCACCACAGAGUAAAAUCCAUCGUCCACAUUCAGCCCAGGGAUGCUAGCACCUCACCUAAAGCUUUUACUGAAAGGCGCGUGAUAUGGUGGAACAGGAGAAAGAAAGUCCAGCCAAGCAUCAAGGGUCC